Molecule: ribosomal RNA, 206 nt
Filed under: uncultured bacterium
Lineage: Bacteria
Description: partial 16S ribosomal RNA
Rfam family: Bacterial small subunit ribosomal RNA
Source: RNAcentral
AGCGCAGACGGUUAUUUAAGCAAGAUGUGAAAGCCCCGGGCUCAACCUGGGAACUGCGUUUUGAACUGGGUAACUAGAGUGUGUCAGAGGGGGGUAGAAUUCCACGUAUAGCAGUGAAAUGCGUAGAGAUGUGGAGGAAUACCGAUGGCGAAGGCAGCCCCCUGGGAUAACACUGACGUUCAUGCUCGAAAGCGUGGGUAGCAACA